RNAcentral lists this ribosomal RNA (300 nucleotides) under uncultured Lactobacillus sp. RNAcentral describes it as "bacterial SSU rRNA". It matches the Rfam family "Bacterial small subunit ribosomal RNA", at positions 496 to 795 of the family's 1533-position model. The record is from RNAcentral. Lineage: Bacteria; Bacillati; Bacillota; Bacilli; Lactobacillales; Lactobacillaceae.
GUUACGUACGGGACAGGAGUGGGGGUAAUACGGAGGUGGCAAGCGUUAGCCGGAUUUAUUGGGCGUAAAGCGAGGGCAGGCGGUUUUUUAAGUCUGAUGUGAAAGCCCUUGGCUUAACCGAGGAAGUGCAUCGGAAACUGGAAAAAUUGAGUGCAGAAGAGGACAGUGGAACUCCAUGUGUAGCGGUGAAAUGCGUAGAUAUAUGGAAGAACACCAGUGGCGAAGGCGGCUGUCUGGUCUGUAACUGACGCUGAGGCUCGAAAGCAUGGGUAGCGAACAGGAUUAGAUACCCUGGUAGUC